RNAcentral lists this unclassified non-coding RNA (392 nucleotides) under Hevea brasiliensis (rubber tree). The record is from RNAcentral. Lineage: Eukaryota; Viridiplantae; Streptophyta; Magnoliopsida; Malpighiales; Euphorbiaceae.
CAAGGUGAGCUACUGGACGAGUACCCCAAUCACCACCCUCAAGCAAAACACUUUCAUCACCAUAUUGGGUACUCAUCUGAUCAUAGAUUUAAUAUUGGGAUGGGGGACCAAUACCAACCCAGUAGUAGUAAUGCAACUCUGGGUUACAGCAAUUGGCAGCUUACAGCAUCAGAGGGUGAUUUGACCCCUAGGCCUUAUAUCAAUGGAAAUUGAUGGUAGAUUAGGUGUCCCACUGAGCUGUAAAUAGUAAACAAAAGGAGUCAAAGCUGCUUGGAUGUGGCUAAUAGCUAGUUUUAUGAUCAAGUGUCUUUCUUAUGUUGUAAUCCUGUUAUCAGAAAUCAGAAGUUUUAACCUGAGGCAACCUUUUUUCUUUUUUUAAGAAAAAAGGUUGC